Molecule: ribosomal RNA, 253 nt
Filed under: uncultured bacterium
Lineage: Bacteria
Description: partial 16S ribosomal RNA
Rfam family: Bacterial small subunit ribosomal RNA
Source: RNAcentral
UACGUAGGGUGCAAGCGUUAAUCGGAAUUACUGGGCGUAAAGCGUGCGCAGGCGGCUAUGCAAGACAGAUGUGAAAUCCCCGGGCUCAACCUGGGAACUGCAUUUGUGACUGCAUAGCUGGAGUGCGGCAGAGGGGGAUGGAAUUCCGCGUGUAGCAGUGAAAUGCGUAGAUAUGCGGAGGAACACCGAUGGCGAAGGCAAUCCCCUGGGCCUGCACUGACGCUCAUGCACGAAAGCGUGGGGAGCAAACAGG